Molecule: unclassified non-coding RNA, 2421 nt
Filed under: Hevea brasiliensis (rubber tree)
Lineage: Eukaryota; Viridiplantae; Streptophyta; Magnoliopsida; Malpighiales; Euphorbiaceae
Source: RNAcentral
UCAGGAAGCAAAAUCAACCUUUAAGCUUAAACAUUCAUCGACAGAAGCAAUGUAAACAAUACUGUCGAACUUGGGGGAAAGUGAUCCUCAAAGUAAUCUAAAUGUCUAAAUUACCAGGUACAAACCCAACGUUGACAUCUGAAAAUCCUAUCUUCUACAGAGGUGUUGUGAGAGCAUUACAUUCUGUCUUGUGUUAGAUAUCUAAAUUAUAAGUGGUUCCCCCAAAAUAAUUCAAAUCACUAAUGGAUCUCAAUUAAAUCACCACCAGGACUGGUUAAAAGUUGUUUACCUUGGUCUUGACAGAUGUAUUUCUCUUUGAAGCAAAUGUUUCAGCAACCAGUAGGGGAAAAGCAAUAGUUGCAUCACAAUGCACUUUGACAGUUUUAGCAGAUCCUCGAAUUUUUCCCCAUGAUACAGCCUCAUCAGGACGAGCUCCAGAAUCACUCCCAUCAAAUUCUUGUGCGGUAUUGAUAAAAACAGCAUAAUCUGCACCAUUACGCAUCAUAUUGGCGUUGCAUAUGUGAUGCUUAGGAAGCCCCCCUCCAAGAACGAUGAUUCCAGUCUUCCUAGGACUUGCAUGGACAGCUUCACCAUUCAUAGCCCUGAUGUCUUGAACAAUGUCAACAAUUAGACCUGGGCUGCGAAAGGAGUGAAAGUACAACAUGUCCCCCAAAGAACCAUCUGUUAAACCUGGACAAAAUACUGGAAUGUUGUUCUUGUAUGCCCAAUAAAGGUAUGAACUCUCAUUAUUUAUUUCUUUCCCCAAUCGACCAAUUACUUUAGAUGGUGUCCACGAAACAUUCUCUUCAAUUUGUUCCUUCAACAUCUGGUCAAAAAUUGGAAUGAUCCAGUCCUCAAAUUUGCAAUAGUUGUCAUUUGGAACCAACAAGUUACCAAUGCGGUUCAAUCCCUUUGAACGCAAAUGAGCUCCAGGUAGAUAAAAGUCACCUUUGUAUGUGGGUGCAAGGCAUUUUAUAAGAUCUUCUUCUAUGCCACCAGCAGUUGUAACCACUACAUCAACCUACAUUCACAUUAUAAACUACACUUUCUUACAUAUAGUUGAGAUAUAAGGCAAAUCUACUUAAAAGGUUGGACCACCUAAAGUAUUACAUGAAUCACAGCCAAAGUUUGAAGCAAAAUUUUUAGACAUAAUGAUAUUAAAAUGAUCAGAGGCUUCACCAGUUGUCCAAAAUUAGGAAGCAUUCCUAGAUGGUCAGAAUAAUUCAACUACUUCAGCAGAGCAACGUAAAACAUUUUUAACAGCAACACAGAGGAGAAACCAGAAAUAAAAAGAAAGCAGUCUUUAAGGGGCUGCCAAAAGAUGAAUACUAAGAGAAGAGAAACUGCAAUGCAAAACACCAACAUAUCCAUCCCUUUUUUCAAGACCACCACUUGAGCAGAACUCAUCAAAUUACUAACCACAAAACAUUUUCAAUAACUCCUUCGCAUGUGCAUUUUCUUUCCCCUCUUCUCAAAUCCAGCAUUUAAGAAGAAUUCGUCAAUUUAACAACAGCCAAGAAUUUUUUAUAAUCUUCUAUUUUGCAUCUAAAAUUUCCCCUGGUUUCACAUCCAACAUUGGAGAAGAAUUCAUCAAAUUAAUAACAUCAAAAAUUUUGGCUGCUUUUUUACUUUGUUUCUGCCUGUAAAGAUUCACAUCUUGAGUUCCAUAUAAACUAAACAGCUACACAAGGGUUGAGUCCUUUCUUAAGUAUUUAAACAAUAAAAUUACAUAAUGUUACAGUCAGACUUUAAAUUUGAUCCAACAUAUCACACAUGAUCAUAUUAAAACCUCAAUUCCUCACCAUAUGAUGCUGAACAAGAUAGCGAAUUAUAUCUCUAACACCAGAAGAAACAAGAUUUGAGGUAAAACCCAAGAACACUUUGCAUUUCACAGACUCUCUAUAAGCAGGGUCCCUUUCCUCCUCAUUGCAAUCUUCUGUUAUAUCCUCAUCAGCAAGCCUCCAGUCAUGUGGUUCACAACUGCAAUGGCGUCACCAAGGUUGGAUGCUUGAAACCCAGUGGAGACCAUGGAUUUGAGAAGCUGAGAGUAGUUAACUCCUUCAUUAAAAUCAUAACCUUCAAUUUUAAUGCAUUUCCCUUCAAGGUGUUCAGACUCUUUGAAAACUAUGGCAUGUACAGAUGAUGGCAAUUGCUCCUCCAUUGAUCUUUGGAAAAAUAAAGCCUAACUGCAGAAGGAUCACAGUGACACCAAAAGGCUAAAUUUUGAUUCUCUUUGCUUGAAAUCUCUUGGGAUUGCAGAUAGAAAGUGGUGGUGGUGUUCUAUGAUGCGAACCAGAGAAAAUCUUCCCCUAAAACCCUAGUUGCUUAGUUCCACAUUCAGCUUUGUGCGUGCGAAGGAGCUCUAAAAAAUGGUAUACCAGUGCGCUAUGGAGAAAGUACACCAUUACACCAAAAACAGCA